GUCAGGCAUGGUGGUGUACGCCUGUAGUCCUAGCUACUCAGGAGGCUGAGGUGGGAGGAUUGCUUGUGCCCAGGAGUUUGAGGUGGCAGUGAGCCAUGAUCAAGCAACUGUACUCCAGCCUGGGCAAAAGAGCAAGACUCCGUCUCUU
This 148-nucleotide non-coding RNA is filed under the name Chlorocebus sabaeus (green monkey). Lineage: Eukaryota; Metazoa; Chordata; Mammalia; Primates; Cercopithecidae. The record is from Rfam by way of RNAcentral.